UGACGGUACCUGGAGAAAAAGCGACGGCUAAUACGUGCCAGCAGCCGCGGUAAUACGUAGGUUGCAAGCGUUGUCCGGAAUUACUGGGUGUAAAGGGCGUGUAGGCGGAGAUGCAAGUCGGGAGUGAAAUCCAUGGGCUCAACCCAUGAACUGCUCUCGAAACUGUAUCCCUUGAGUAUCGGAGAGGCAAGCGGAAUUCCUAGUGUAGCGGUGAAAUGCGUAGAUAUUAGGAGGAACACCAGUGGCGAAGGCGGCUUGCUGGACGACAACUGACGUUGAGGCGCGAAAGCGUGGGGAGCAAACAGGAUUAGAUACCCUGGUAGUCCACGCUGUAAACGAUGAAUACUAGGUGUGGGAGGACUGACCCCUUCCGUGCCGCAGUUAACACAAUAAGUAUUCCACCUGGGGAGUACGACCGCAAGGUUGAAACUCAAAGGAAUUGACGGGGGCCCGCACAAGCAGUGGAUUAUGUGGUUUAAUUCGACGCAACGCGAAGAACCUUACCAGGAUUUGACAUCCAACUAACGAAGCAGAGAUGCAUUAGGUGCCCUUCGGGGAAAGUUGAGACAGGUGGUGCAUGGUUGUCGUCAGCUCGUGUCGUGAGAUGUUGGGUUAAGUCCCGCAACGAGCGCAACCCCUAUUGUUAGUUGCUACGAAAGAGCACUCUAGCGAGACUGCCGUUGACAAAACGGAGGAAGGCGGGGACGACGUCAAAUCAUCAUGCCCCUUAUGUCCUGGGCUACACACGUAAUACAAUGGCCGUCAACAAAGGGAAGCGAAACCGCGAGGUGGAGCAAACCCCCAAAAACGGUCUCAGUUCGGAUUGCAGGCUGCAACUCGCCUGCAUGAAGCUGGAAUUGCUAGUAAUCGUGGAUCAGCAUGCCACGGUGAAUACGUUCCCGGGCCUUGUACACACCGCCCGUCACACCAUGAGAGUCGGGAACACCCGAAGUCCGUAGUCUAACCGCAAGGAGGGCGCGGCCGAAGGUGUCC
This 993-nucleotide ribosomal RNA is filed under the name uncultured bacterium. RNAcentral's name for it is "bacterial SSU rRNA". It matches the Rfam family "Bacterial small subunit ribosomal RNA", at positions 470 to 1467 of the family's 1533-position model. The record is from RNAcentral.